GAUGAGAUCACCCAAGCUGCCGCCCGUCCACCCGCCUCGGCGCCGCCGUGCCCGUUGGAUGUUCAGUUUCUAUCUAUGAACAAGUAUGCGUCACUUUUUCUUUUUGUUUGACCAAACUCAAGUCCCCUUUCUAAAACUGCAGCCAAGCAGUACUUGCUACUGGAAUAAUCCCAUGAAUGAAUUCUUUGUUGUGGUCAACUCUUUCUUGUCUCUCUACUAGGAUUCAUGCACCAAGCCCAGAAUUAAAAUUUUAUGUCAGGCUGCUAGUAAAUCAGGCUCUACUCUGUCCAAUAGCAAGUUGGAUAGCACCUGUAGUUAAUUGCACGUACAUAUGGGUUUUGGUUCAUUUUGUACGUAUGUUUGUUUGUUCAUGCUUACGACUUUGGCUAAAACACGUUGGAUGCCCAAUUCCUAUGGUGAACCUUUUGGUUCAAGCAAGCAAACUCAUGUUCCCUUUCUAUGACUGAAGCCAAGUUGUACCUACUACUGGCAUAAUACGAUGGAUUCAUUCUUUGUUUGUGGUCAACUCUUGUCUGUCUACUAGCAUUCGUGCGAGAACCUGAAUGUUGUGUAGGCUGCUAUGUUGUACUACCAGUAAACUAGUUUGUACUCUCUCCAACUGCAGGUUGGAUAGCCUUGCAAUUAAUUGUACAGACAUGCAUAUGAUUUUUGGUUCAAUUUGUAUGUAUAUAUAUGCUUAAGACUUUGACUAAAACUAGUUGGAUGUUCAGUUCCCCAUGAAGGUGACCAAUCCCUAGCAGUGCCCAUUGGUCCUUCCUGAUAUUUCACCUCAUGUGAUUUUAAUCUUUGUUUCUUGCUUUCCACAGCGACCAAGUUCUCUUAACAGCGGGACAUCUGAGUUCGUCAUGGUGAUGGAAGCUGACACGGAGCCGCUCGAAAUCUCCUCGACCUCCCAUCAUGUUUCUUGCGGACGGCAAGGUAGAAAUUCUGUCCAUAUACAUCAUACUAAUGCUAAUUAAUUUAUAUGUUGUAGCUUGCGCGAUAUGGUCAUAACAGUAACUGUUAAGCUCAUAAUUCUGUAUGUUGUCUUCAAGUUUUCUCUAAUAUAGAUUUCUCAAAUCUCUCUCUGAACUUCUCUAAUAAAAAAUGGUGUUAACUGUUAAAGCUCUUCGUGGUGACAUGUUUCUGUUACCAAUACAAUAAUAUAUUUGCACUCAAGGACUGUUUGAGUGAUAGGCUGUUCAUACUAUUAGAGAAGUGAACUGAUUAAGAUAUUGCUUUCCCCAACAACAAAAAAUAAACACGGCAGUUGAACAAUGUGUAUCCCUUCACUUGGAAGCCUAUGAAACUUUCUGUAGCAGCAGUGCAACACACUUUAUAUAUAUGUAUGAGGCUGGGUAGUUCAAAUCUACUUUACUUCCUAACUCAUUCAUAUAUAUCAUGGAAAUUGUGCAGGUUCCAUGGUCCCAAGUGGCCUUUGGCCAUCUUGAACUGGGACUCCAGUAACAAGUAGAUGUUGCUGCCACACUCAAUAUUUUAAGUUGUUUUCUUUUUUCUUUUUGGAGAGAUGUUAAUAACCUGAGAACACUUGCCUCCUCUGUUGGAAAUAUGCCCUAGAGGCAAUAAUAAAUUGAUUAUUAUUAUAUUUCCUUGUUCAUGAUAAUCGUUUAUUAUCCAUGCUAGAAUUGUAUUGAUAGGAAACUCAGAUACAUGUGUGGAUACAUAGACAACACCAUGUCCCUAGUAAGCCUCUAGUUGACUAGCUCGUUAAUCAAUAGAUGGUUACGGUUUCCUGACCAUGGACAUUGGAUGUCGUUGAUAACGGGAUCACAUCAUUAGGAGAAUGAUGUGAUGGACAAGACCCAAUCCUAAGCCUAGCACAAGAUCAUGUAGUUCGUAUGCUAAAGCUUUUCUAAUGUCAAGUAUCAUUUCCUUAGACCAUGAGAUUGUGCAACUCCCGGAUACCGUAGGAGUGCUUUGGGUGUGCCAAACGUCACAACGUAACUGGGUGGCUAUAAAGGUACACUACGGGUAUCUCUGAAAGUGUCUGUUGGGUUGGCACGAAUCGAGAUUGGGAUUUAUCACUCCGUGUAAACGGAGAGGUAUCUCUGGGCCCACUCGGUAGGACAUCAUCAUAAUGUGCACAAUGUGACCAAGGGGUUGAUCACGGGAUGAUGUGUUACGGAACGAGUAAAGAGACUUGCCGAUAACGAGAUUGAACAAGGUAUCGGUAUACCGACGAUCGAAUCUCGGGCAAGUACCAUACCGCUAGACAAAGGGAAUUGUAUACGGGAUCGAUUGAGUCCUUGACAUCGUGGUUCAUCCGAUGAGAUCAUCGUGGAACAUGUGGGAGCCAACAUGGGUAUCCAGAUCCCGCUGUUGGUUAUUGAUCGGAGAACAUCUCGGUCAUGUCUGCAUGUCUCCCGAACCCGUAGGGUCUACACACUUAAGGUUCGAUGAUGCUAGGGUUAUAAAGGAAGCUUGUAUGUGGUUACCGAAUGUUGUUCGGAGUCCCGGAUGAGAUCCCGGACGUCACGAGGAGUUCCGGAAUGGUCCGGAGGUAAAGAUUUAUAUAUAGGAAGUCCUGUUUCGGCCAUCGGGACAAGUUUCGGGGUCAUCGGUAUUGUACCGGGACCACCGGAAGGGUCCCGGGGGCCCACCGGGUGGGGCCACCUGCCCCGGGGGGCCACAUGGGCUGUAGGGGGUGCGCCUUGGCCUACAUGGGCCAAGGGCACCAGCCCCAAGAGGCCCAUGCGCCUAGGGAACCCUAGAGGGAAGAGUCCUCAAAGGGGAAGGCACCUCCGAGGUGCCUUGGGGAGGAUGGACUCCUCCCCCCCUCUUAGCCGCACCCCUUCCUUGGAGGAAGGGGCAAGGCUGCGCCUCCCCCCUCUCCCCUGCCCCUAUAUAUAGUGGAGGGGAGGGAGGGCAUCCAUACCUGAGCCCUUGGCGCCUCCCUCCCUCCCGUGACACCUCCUCCUCUCCCGUAGGUGCUUGGCGAAGCCCUGCAGGAUUGCCACACUCCUCCAUCACCACCACGCCGUUGUGCUGCUGCUGGAUGGAGUCUUCCUCAACCUCUCCCUCUCUCCUUGCUGGAUCAAGGCGUGGGAGACAUCGUCGAGCUGUAUGUGUGUUGAACGCGGAGGUGCCGUCCGUUCGGCACUAGGAUCAUCGGUGAUCUGAAUCACGACGAGUACGACUCCAUCAACCCCGUUCACUUGAACGCUUCCGCUUAGCGAUCUACAAGGGUAUGUAGAUGCACUCUCCUUCCCCUCGUUGCUGGUCUCUCCAUAGAUAGAUCUUGGUGACACGUAGGAAAAUUUUGAAUUUCUGCUACGUUCCCCAACAGUGGCAUCAUGAGCUAGGUCUAUUGCGUAGAUUCUUUGCACGAGUAGAACACAAAGUAGUUGUGGGCGUCGAUAUUGUUCAAUAUGCUUGCCGUUACUAGUCUUAUCUUGAUUCGGCGGCAUCGUGGGAUGAAGCGGCCCGGACCAACCUUACACGUACGCUUACGUGAGACCGGUUCCACCGACAAACAUGCACUAGUUGCAUAAGGUGGCUGGCGGGUGUCUGUCUCUCCCACUUUAGUCGGAUCGGAUUCGAUGAAAAGGGUCCUUAUGAAGGGUAAAUAGAAAUUGGCAUAUCACGUUGUGGUUCAUGCGUAGGUAAGAAACGUUCUUGCUAGAAACCCAUAGCAGCCACGUAAAACAUGCAAACAACAAUUAGAGGACGUCUAACUUGUUUUUGCAGGGUAUGCUAUGUGAUGUGAUAUGGCCAAAGAGGAUGUGAUGAAUGAUAUAUGUGAUGUAUGAGAUUGAUCAUGUUCUUGUAAUAGGAAUCACGACUUGCAUGUCGAUGAGUAUGACAACCGGCAGGAGCCAUAGGAGUUGUCUUUAUUUAUUUGUGACCUGCGUGUCAACUUAAACGUCAUGUAAUUACUUUACUUUAUUGCUAACCGUUAGCCAUAGUAGUAGAAGUAAUAGUUGGCGAGGCAACUUCAUGAAGACAUGAUGAUGGAGAUCAUGAUGAUGGAGAUCAUGGUGUCAUGCCGGUGACGAUGAUGAUCAUGGAGCCCCGAAGAUGGAGAUCAAAAGGAGCAAAGUGAUGAUGGCCAUAUCAUGUCACUAUUUGAUUGCAUGUGAUGUUUAUCAUGUUUAUACAUCUUAUUUGCUUAGAACGACGGUAGUAAAUAAGAUGAUCCCUUACAACAAUUUCAAGAAGUGUUCUCCCCUAACUGUGCACCGUUGCGACAGUUCGUGUUUCGAAGCACCACGUGAUGAUCGGGUGUUAGAUUCUAACGUUCACAUACAACGGGUGUAAGACAGAUUUACACAUGCGAAACACUUAGGGUUAACUUGACGAGCCUAGCAUGUACAGACAUGGCCUCGGAACACGGAUACCGAAAGGUCGAACAUGAGUCGUAUAGAAGAUACGAUCAACAUGAAGAUGUUCACCGAUGAUGACUAGUCCGUCUCACGUGAUGAUCGGACACGGCCUAGUUUGACUCGGAUCAUGUAAUCACUUAGAUGACUAGAGGGAUGUCUAUCUGAGUGGGAGUUCAUAAGAUGAACUUAAUUAUCCUGAACAUAGUCAAAAGGUUUUUGCAAAUUAUGUCGUAGCUCACGCUAUAGUUCUACUGUUUAGAUAUGUUCCUAGAGAAAAAUUAGUUGAAAGUUGAUAGUAGCAAUUAUGCGGACUAGGUCCGUAAACUGAGGAUUGUCCUCAUUGCUUCAUAGAAGGCUUAUGUCCUUAAUGCACCGCUCAGUGUGCUGAACCCGAAACGUCGUUUGUGGAUGUUGCGAACAUCGGACAUACACGUUUUGAUAACUACGUGAUAGUUCAGUUAAACGGUUUAGAGUUGAGGCACUAAAGACGUUUUCGAAACAUCACGGAACAUAUGAGAUGUUUCGAGGGCUAAAAUUGGGAUUUCAGGCUCGUGCUCACGUCAAGAGGUAUAAGACCUCCGAUGAUUUUCUUAACCUGCAAACUAAGGAGAAAAGCUCAAUUGUUGAGCUUGUGCUCAGAUUGUCUGAGUACAACAAUCAUUUGAAUCGAGUGGGAGUUGAUCUUCCAGAUAAGACAGUGAUGGUUCUCCAAAGUCAUUGCCACCAAGCUGUUAGAGCUUCGUGAUGAACUAUGACAUAUCAGGGAUAGAUAUGAUGAUCCUUGAGGUAUUCGCGAUGUUUGACACCGCGAAAGUAGAAAUCAAGAAGGAGCAUCAAUUGUUGAUGGUUGGUGAAACCACUAGUUUCAAGAAGGGCAAGGGCAAGAAGGGAUACUUCAUGAAACGGCAAAUCAGCUGCUGCUCUAGUGAAGAAACCCAAGGUAAAACCCAAACCCGAGACUAAGUGCUUCUGUAAUAAGGGGAACAAUCACUAGAGCAGAAUUACCCUAGAUACUUGGUAGAUAAGAAGGCUGGCAAGGUCGAUAGAAGUAUAUUGGAUAUACAUUAUGUUAAUGUGUACUUUACUAGUACUCCUAGUAGCACCAGGGUAUUAGAUACAGGUUCAGUUGCUAAGUGUUAGUAACUCGAAACAAAAGGCUACGGAAUAAACGGAGACUAGCUAAAGGUGAGCUGACGAUAUGUGUUGGAAGUUUUUUCCAAGCUUGAUAUGAUCAAGCAUCGCACGCUCCCUCUACCAAAGAGAUUGGUGUUAAACCUAAAUAAUUGUUAUUUGGUGUUUGCGUUGAGCAUAGACAUGAUUGGAUUACGUCUAUCGCAAUACGGUUAUUCAUUUAAGGAGAAUAAUGGUUACUCUGUUUAUUUGAAUAAUACCUUCAAUGGUCUUACACCUAAAAUGAAUGGUUUAUUAAAUCUCGAUCGUAGUAAUACACAUGUUCAUGCCAAAAGAUAGUAAUGAUAGUACCACCUACUUGUGGCACUGCCACGUAAGUCAUAUCGGUAUAAAACGCAUGAAGAAGCUCCAUAUUGAUGGAUCUUUGGGCUCACUCGUUUUGAAAAGUUUGAGACAUGCGAACCAUGUCUAUUGGUGUAUAUGCAUGAAGAAACUCCAUGCAAAUGGACCGUUUUGACUCACUUGAUUUUGAAUCACUUGGGACAUGCAAAUCAUACCACAUGGGCAAGAUGACUGAAAAGCCUCGUUUUCAGUAAGAUGGAACAAGAUAGCAACUUGUUGGAAGUAACACAUUUUGAUGUGUGUAGUCCAAUGAGUGCUGAGGCAUGCAGUGAAUAUUGUUAUGUUCUUACUUCACAGAUAAUUUGAGUGGAUGUUGAGUACAUUUACUUGAUGAAUCAUGAGUCUGAAUUAUUGAAAGGUUCAAGUAAUUUCAGGGUGAAGUUGAAAGAUCGUCGUGACAAGAGGAUAAAAUAUCUAUGAUAUGAUCAUAGAGAUGAAUAUCUGAAUUACGAGUUUGGCACAGAAUUAAGACAUUGUAGAAAUAGUUUCACAACUAAUACAGCCUGGAACACCAUAGUGUGAUGGUGUGUCCGAACAUCAUAACUGCACCCUAUUGGAUAUGAUGCAUACCAUGAUGUCUCUUAUCGAAUUACCACGAUAGUUUAUGGGUUAGGCAUUAGAGACAACCACAUUCACUUUAAAUAGGGCACCACGUAAUUCCGUUGAGAUGACAUCGUAUGAAUUAUGGUUUAGAGAAACCUAAGUUGUCGUUUCUUAAAGGUUUGGGGCUGCGACGCUUAUGUGAAAAAGUUUCAGGUUGAUAAGCUCGAACCCAAAGCAGAUAAAAUGCAUCUUCAUAGGACACCCAAAAACAGUUGGGUAUACCUCCUAAUUCAGAUCCGAAAGCAAUAGGGAUUGUUUCUUGAAUCGGGUCCUUUUUCGAGGAAAGGUUUCUCUCAAAAGAGUUGAGUAGGAGGAUGGUGGAGACUUGAUGAGGUUAUUGAACCAUCACUUCAACAAGUGUGUAGCAGGGCACAGGAAGUUGUUCCUGUGGCACGUACACCAACUGAAGUGGAAGCUUAUGAUAGUGAUCAUGAAACUUCGGAUCAAGUCACUACCAAACCUCGUGGGAUGACAAGGAUGCGUACUACUUCAGAGUGGUACGUAAUCCUGUCUUGGAAGUCAUGUUGCUAGACAACAAUGAACCUACGAGCUAUGGAGAAGCGAUAGUGGGCCCGGAUUCCGAUAAAUGGCUCAAGGCCAUAAAACCCGAGAGAGGAUCCAUGUAUGAAAACAAAGUGUAGACUUUGGAAGAACUACUUGAUGGUCGUAAGGCUGUUAGGUACAUAUGGAUUUUGAAAGGAAGACAGACAAUGAUGGUAAGUGUCACCAUUAAGAAAGCUCGACUUGUCGUUAAGAUAUUUUCCGACAAGUUCAAGGAGUUGAUUACGGUGAGGUUUUCUCACUCGUAGCGAUGCUAAGAGUCUGUUGGAAUUGGAUUAGCAGUUACUGCAUGAUUGAUGAAAUCUUGCAGAUAGGAUGUCAAAACAUUGUUUCCUCGAUGUUAUACUUGAGGAAAGGUUGUAUGUGAUACAACCGGAAGGUUUUGUCAAUCCCAAAAGAUGCUAAUAAGUAUGCAAAGCUCCAGCAAUCCUUCUAAGGACUGGAGUGAGCAUCUCGGAGUUGGAAUGUAUGCUUUGAUGAUGAUCAAAGAUUUUGGGUUUGUACAAAGUUUAUGAGAAACUUGUAUUUCCAAAGAAGUGAGUGGGAGCACUAUAGAAUUUCUGAUGAGUAUAUGUUGUUGACAUAUUAAUGAUCAGAAAUGACGUAGAAUUUCUGGAAAGCAUACAGGGUUAUUUGGAAAGUGUUUUCAAUGGAAAACCUGGAUUAAGCUACUUGAACAUUGAGCAUCAAGAUCUAUAAGGAUAGAUCAAAACACUUAAUAGUACUUUCAAAUGAGCACAUGCCUUGACAUGAUCUUGAAGGUGUUCAAGAUGGAUCAGUCAAAGAAGGAGUUCUUGCCUGAGUUGUAAGGUAUGAAGUUAAGACUUAAAGCUCGACCAUGGCAGAAUAGAGAGAAAGGAACGAAGGUCGUCCCCUAUGCUUAAGACAUAGGCUCUACAGUAUGCUAUGCUAUGUACCGCACCUGAAGUGUGCUUUACCAUGAGUCAGUCAAGGGGUACAAGAGUGAUCCAAGAAUGGAUCACAGGACAUCGGUCAAAGUUAUCCUUAGUAACUAGUGGACUAAGGAAUUUUCUCAAUUAUGGAGGUGGUAAAAGAGUUCAUCGUAAAGGGUUACGUCGAUGCAAGCUUAAUACCUAUCCGGAUAGCUCUGAGUAGAGAUACCGGAUACGUAUAAUGGAGCAACAAUUUAGAAUAGCUCCAAGUAGAACAGUUAUUUGGAAUAGCUCCAAAUAGAACGUGGUAGCUGCAUCUAGGAGAUGACAUAGAGAUUUGUAAAGCACACACGGAUCUGAAAGGUUCAGACCCGUUGACUAUAACCUCUCUCACAAGCAUAACAUGAUCAAACCCAGAACUCAUCGAGUGUUAAUCACAUGGUAAAUGUGAACUAGAUUAUUGACUCUAGUAAACUCUUUGGGUGUUAGUCACAUGGGGAUGUGACCUUGAGUGUUAAUCACAUAUCGAUGUGAACUAGAUUAUUGACUCUAGUGCAAGUGGGAGACUGUUGGAAAUAUGCCCUAGAGGCAAUAAUAAAUUGAUUAUUAUUAUAUUUCCUUGUUCAUGAUAAUCGUUUAUUAUCCAUGCUAGAAUUGUAUUGAUAGGAAACUCAGAUACAUGUGUGGAUACAUAGACAACACCAUGUCCCUAGUAAGCCUCUAGUUGACUAGCUCGUUAAUAAAUAGAUGGUUACGGUUUCCUGACCAUGGACAUUGGAUGUCGUUGAUAACGGGAUCACAUCAUUAGGAGAAUGAUGUGAUGGACAAGACCCAAUCCUAAGCCUAGCACAAGAUCAUGUAGUUCGUAUGCUAAAGCUUUUCUAAUGUCAAGUAUCAUUUCCUUAGACCAUGAGAUUGUGCAACUCCCGGAUACCGUAGGAGUGCUUUGGGUGUGCCAAACGUCAAAACGUAACUGGGUGGCUAUAAAGGUACACUACGGGUAUCUCUGAAAGUGUCUGUUGGGUUGGCACGAAUCGAGAUUGGGAUUUGUCACUCCGUGUAAACGGAGAGGUAUCUCUGGGCCCACUCGGUAGGACAUCAUCAUAAUGUGCACAAUGUGACCAAGGGGUUGAUCACGGGAUGAUGUGUUACGGAACGAGUAAAGAGACUUGCCGGUAACGAGAUUGAACAAGGUAUCGGUAUACCGACGAUCGAAUCUCGGGCAAGUACCAUACCGCUAGACAAAGGGAAUUGUAUACAGGAUCGAUUGAGUCCUUGACAUCGUGGUUCAUCCGAUGAGAUCAUCGUGGAACAUGUGGGAGCCAACAUGGGUAUCCAGAUCCCACUGUUGGUUAUUGACCGGAGAACAUCUCGGUCAUGUCUGCAUGUCUCCCGAACCCGUAGGGUCUACACACUUAAGGUUCGAUGACGCUAGGGUUAUAAAGGAAGCUUGUAUGUGGUUACCGAAUGUUGUUCGGAGUCCCGGAUGAGAUCCCGGACGUCACGAGGAGUUCCAGAAUGGUCCGGAGGUAAAGAUUUAUAUAUAGGAAGUCCUGUUUCGGCCAUCGGGACAAGUUUCGGGGUCAUCGGUAUUGUACCGGGACCACCGGAAGGGUCCCGGGGGCCCACCGGGUGGGGCCACCUGCCCCGGGGGGGCCACAUGGGCUGUAGGGGGUGCGCCUUGGCCUACAUGGGCCAAGGGCACCAGCCCCAAGAGGCCCAUGCGCCUAGGGAACCCUAGAGGGAAGAGUCCUCAAAGGGGAAGGCACCUCCGAGGUGCCUUGGGGAGGAUGGACUCCUCCCCCCCUCUUAGCCGCACCCCUUCCUUGGAGGAAGGGGCAAGGCUGCGCCUCCCCCCUCUCCCCUGCCCCUAUAUAUAGUGGAGGGGAGGGAGGGCAUCCAUACCUGAGCCCUUGGCGCCUCCCUCCCUCCCGUGACACCUCCUCCUCUCCCGUAGGUGCUUGGCGAAGCCCUGCAGGAUUGCCACACUCCUCCAUCACCACCACGCCGUUGUGCUGCUGCUGGAUGGAGUCUUCCUCAACCUCUCCCUCUCUCCUUGCUGGAUCAAGGCGUGGGAGACAUCGUCGAGCUGUACGUGUGUUGAACGCGGAGGUGUCGUCCGUUCGGCACUAGGAUCAUCAGUGAUCUGAAUCACGACGAGUACGACUCCAUCAACCCCGUUCACUUGAACGCUUCCACUUAGCGAUCUACAAGGGUAUGUAGAUGCACUCUCCUUCCCCUCGUUGCUGGUCUCUCCAUAGAUAGAUCUUGGUGACACGUAGGAAAAUUUUGAAUUUCUGCUACGUUCCCCAACAUCCUCCCCAACCCUCGCCCCAGCCUGCCGGUGCUGGCUUGCUGCGUGGCUGUCGCCGCAACAGAUAAUUAGAUUUUUGGGACUCUGUUUCUAUGCUCUGCUCGAUAGCAUUUUGCAUAUUGAUUGGACAUGCUUUAUAUAAAACGAUUUAUCUUGUACAUUGCUCUGCCUAACUUGUAGGAGUAUACAUGAAACCAUACUUGUCAAAUAUCGAUACUUGUCAAAUAUCAAGUAUCACAGCUGAAUAAUAACGUCUUGUUUUCUGUUCACUGAAUCAAAAUUCUUCUCUCUUUUUAUGAUCAGUCCAUCUUACAGCCAUCAAUAAGAAAAACACUUAUCUUCAUAUUAGGAUUAUUAUUUUCUUGUCUGCAGUAUUAUAAUGUACAUAUGCUUUUCUGUUCACUGAAUCACAAUUCUUCACUCUUUUUACCAUCAAUCCAUCUUCUUACAGUUGCAUGUUUUUUUUGGCUGUCCAGAUGACCAAGCCCAAGGAGGAAGCAGUUGCUCAUCACUGAGGACAAGUAACUCCAGCAGGUUGACGCCGUAGAUUCAUAGUGUACCUUCUAUAUGCCCAUCCAGUUCUGUGAUUUGUGUCUUGAAACCCAAAAACCCCAUGCCCAUGUGGGAGCUGAACCAUAGUUUUUUGCUUGUGGAAAAUAAUAUCCUUGGCUGAAUCGACUUGAGGUGGUUUCUUCAAAAUUCUUGAAAAUGAUUUGGUAGUUUAUUUUGGCGAGGAAUUGUUUCAUACUGAAGUUUACUGGUACAUGUGUGGUUUGCUACUAUUGCUUCGUUUGGGUUGGGUUGGUUCCAGCGGGGAGAUGUGCAUGCACACUGGCAGCAUGAGCUAGCAGCCAUGAUUGCCAGCCAGUCACCACCAUGUAAAUGUAAUAAAUGUGUGGCCUAUCUAGUGUGCUGCUGAUAGAAAUAUAGAUGUGGCCUAUCUAGUGGGUUGCUGAUAAUAUGUUUUUACCUCACUUGGCAGGCACCAUAAUCUGUUUUUUCCUCACUGUACUGUAGGAAUAAAUGUGUGGCCUAUCUAGUGUGCUGCUGAUAGAAAUAUAGAUGGAAGAUUUGUUGACCAGUUAAAUUGAGCUUAUUGUCAAUUCUGCUUAUAAGCUAUGUUUGAUGCUGCCUACAGGUUCUUAUUCUUUUUUUUGCAUAGGUGAAGUAUGAAGUGUGAAGCCGUGAAGCCUAUCAGCAAGAGUAGCAUAUUAUGUAUUGUAAUAUCACGCAAAGUGUAAUAUUGGUCAGAGUAGCAUAUUAUGUAUUGUAAUAUUUAGUGUUGUUUUGGAUGAAUUUUAUUUGCUCUAUAAUCUGUUUGAAAUAUUGAUUGUGUAUAUAAUUUCAAUACCUAUGAAAUGGAAACCUGACCAGGGGGACCCACUUAUGAAAAUUGGUUGACAAAUUUUGAAAUUUCUGAUGUGUGGGUCCAAUUGUGAUAUCAGCAUGACAAGUGGGACCAAUAUGACCAGUGGGACCAGCGCAAAAAUAAU
This 11740-nucleotide long non-coding RNA is filed under the name Triticum aestivum (bread wheat). Its description in RNAcentral is "long non-coding RNA (TAES_LNC025272)". Lineage: Eukaryota; Viridiplantae; Streptophyta; Magnoliopsida; Poales; Poaceae. The record is from RNAcentral.